CUGGAUCCGACUACAAACUCCCGUGAGGAAUCACAGGUGCAAAAGAAGAUGCAAGGUACCAGUGGUACCGUACCACAGAACCACUUAUGGGGACGUUUAUGGCAGCACCAAAGAACUGGGUUUCUCGCGAAGGAGAAAAAUUCACUGUGACAUGGACCACCGAAAACGGAUUUCAGCCAAGAGUUGCCCGUUGCUCCCGUCCACGUUUACGAGCUCCCAGUUACCCCUACCCUCCCUUAUUACCGCAGAGGGGCAGGUAGCAAAACCUAAAAUACCUUUUUAUUAGAUUGUUUAUGAAUUUUUCGUGUUUUAUUUACCUUAAGCUACCAUGAUCCCUGACAAAGUUUGAUUAAUUAAAUUAAAAUUCUUAAGAUUCGUUGGAGUUCUAUUUUGAUUUACAAACGAUUCCCUCUUGGCAAUUUAGCUUAUUUGGACAGUGGAGAUAGGCGCUACAUCAUACCCAAAUCAUACAUACUACCUACAUCAUACCAUUUUGUCCAUUUAUGAUUAUGAAAUCUUAUGAUUCAUGUUUUUGUCUGUUGAAUAACUUGGAAUUUUUUCACAAUUUUAGUGUAACCACCUUUUUCAUAUUCAUGCAACCUUGCCCACUCCCCCUCCUAUUGUUAUUAUUCAAAAUGGACGCUGACUUGUUGACAGUGCGUUAAUUAACUUGUGACGGUAUGAUUGUUUCGAGAGUUAUUCACUGCAUUUUGGAGUUUUUGAUUAACUUAAUCGCUGUAAAUCUGUGCAACAAGCAGAGAAAGUGGUUUAACAAGACCUUCCCGGUUCACCCAUCGUGUCAUUUCACAAUUAUUUGUGGUUUUUUAUACGAGGUCAUUGGGCCUAUGACACCGACUCCAGGUUUUAACUGAACGAAAAAUUCUACGAAACCGACUGAAACUGAAUCGUCAAUUCUUUGAACUCGCCAGGAAAGUUACGUAAUGGAUAAAGGAUAAACGAGUUCGUUCUUCAAGAAUCUUGAGAAACUGAGAAUUCGACUUUGCCCAUGUGAGUUAGGAACUUUAAAGAGACGGCACCUCCAAGUAAAUCACGACGCCGUACGGCUGUAGGAUGCUACUUUCUUAAUAAAUGCUGAUUUUGAGGCAACAGGCAACGCUGCUCUGUUUUGACAUGGCACAAGAUUGACAGCACCUUGACCAGUUUUGACACCUUCGAGGCAGAAGCCUAGGCGCCACCCUAUUGGCAUUUCCAUAUCUCUGACGUUGUUCGAAAACUGUGUAGGUUGAUUGUAUUUGAUUACGUGCAAGCCCUAAUGGUUAGAGGAAAGCCACCUCAUUGAUGAAUGUAUUUGUUCGGCAAUUGCUCAAUCUGAAAAGUGCUGAUGAUUUGUUCCUGUCAGAGAAUUCAUAGUAGUAAGUUGAAUGUUCAUCUUGAAAUGGUUGAAGAGAUCUGGUGGAAUCUACUCUCUUAACAACAAGGGGAUUCAACAAUAUUGAGUUAUAGAUUAAAGUUUUAUAGCAGUUACUUUAGUUGAGCAAUAGUAAUAUAUAAUUUCUGCUAUGGUAUUUAUUCUGUAUGAGUGAGAAAUGAAAUAUACAAAUUAUAAGUGA
Daphnia pulicaria is the source of this 1571-nucleotide long non-coding RNA. RefSeq lists it as uncharacterized. The record is from RefSeq and is a predicted model, not a curated record. The transcript has 5 exons. Lineage: Eukaryota; Metazoa; Arthropoda; Branchiopoda; Diplostraca; Daphniidae.